GAUGAACGCUGGCGGCGUGCCUAAUACAUGCAAGUCGAGCGAACAGACGAGGAUCUUGCUCGUUUGACGUUAGCGGCGGACGGGUGUGUAACACGUAGGUAACCUACCUAUAAGACUGGGAUAACUUCGGGAAACCGGCGCUAAUAGCGGAGAAUAUUUCGAUCCGCAUGGUUCGGUAGUGAAAGAGGGCUUUGGUAUCAGUUAUAGAUGGACCUGCGCCGUAUUAGCUAGUUGGUAAGGUCACGGCUUAGCAAGGCAACGAUACGUAGACGACCUGAGAGGGUGAUCGGCCACACUGGAACUGAGACACGGUCCAGACUCCUACGGUAGGCAGCAGUAGGGAAUCUUCCGCAAUGGGGGAAAGCCUGACGGAGCAACGCGGCGUGAGUGAUGAAGGUCCUCGGAUCGUAAAACUCUGUUAGUAGGGAAAAACAAACGUGUAAGUAACUGUGCACGUCUUGACGGUACCUAAUCAGAAAGCCACGGCUAACUACGUG
RNAcentral lists this ribosomal RNA (497 nucleotides) under uncultured bacterium. RNAcentral describes it as "partial 16S ribosomal RNA". It matches the Rfam family "Bacterial small subunit ribosomal RNA", at positions 28 to 507 of the family's 1533-position model. The record is from RNAcentral.